Molecule: non-coding RNA, 72 nt
Organism: Dipodomys ordii (Ord's kangaroo rat)
Lineage: Eukaryota; Metazoa; Chordata; Mammalia; Rodentia; Heteromyidae
Source: Rfam
AGGAAGCUGGCUCAGUGGUGGAGUGCUUGCCUUGCAUGCAUGAGGCCCUGGGUUCAAUUCCUCAGCAUCUAA